UUUUUUUUGAGUUCUCUUAUUUUUCUUGAGGAUUAUUUCUUUCUUUAUUGUAUAUCGUUGGUGAGAGGAAGUUUUUCCUUACUAUGUAUCUAUUUUGGGGUCGUCCGUUUAUAUAUAUAUUGUAUUCGUAUCUUGGAGUUUGUCUUUGGAGGUUUGCAUAGUCAGAAUUGAUUUAGGACCAUAUUCAAGUAAGUUAUUUCUUUCUCAUCUCUUUAUUUGUAUUAUGAUUUUGUUCUUUUUAGGAUUUCUUAGAUUUAUCUUGUUUUAUAUCUAUUAUAUUUGUGAUCAUUUUGGUAUUUGAAUAUUUUAUCCAUUUCUUUUAUUCAGUUCUCUACCUAUUUAGGUUAUAUGUUCAUUAUACUCUACAUUUUGUAUGUAUGGACAUUUGCCUAAGUUUUUCUGCUCAUUUAUGUAUUUGUCAUUUUUAUUGAUUAUUUUGUUGAUAUUUUUUGGCAUGUGCUAUUAUAAGUAUUGUAUUUUGUUUCAAGUUCUCUAUAUUAGUAUAAUUUUUGUCCUAAAUUUUUUAUAAUUUUGUUUAUGUUAACCAGUGUUCAUAUUCCUUACACUCGUGAGCUCUACCAAAGAGGGGCAUAUUUGUAGACCCCCAUUUGGGGCUCACUUUCUUCAGCUAAUUUUUGAAAGGUUCACAAUAUCAAGGAACCAUGUGUCAGCUUGUAAUUGGCCUUUAGUGAAUCAAAUAGUGUUUUGAAUAAGCCAAUGAAAGGUUGACACCUAGGGGAAUAUUAAAAAAAAGUGAGAGUCUGAAGGAGCGUUUCUAUUGGGGAGUUGGGG
Molecule: long non-coding RNA, 792 nt
Filed under: Vitis vinifera (wine grape)
Lineage: Eukaryota; Viridiplantae; Streptophyta; Magnoliopsida; Vitales; Vitaceae
Description: long non-coding RNA (VVIN_LNC007834)
Source: RNAcentral